This 528-nucleotide ribosomal RNA is filed under the name uncultured bacterium. RNAcentral describes it as "bacterial SSU rRNA". It matches the Rfam family "Bacterial small subunit ribosomal RNA", at positions 774 to 1294 of the family's 1533-position model. The record is from RNAcentral.
AGUCAAUAGAUACCCUGGUAGUCCACGCCCUAAACGAUGUCUACUAGUUGUUGGUGGAGUAAAAUCCAUGAGUAAACGCAGCUAACGCGUGAAGUAGACCGCCUGGGGAGUACGGUCGCAAGAUUAAAACUCAAAGGAAUUGACGGGGGGCCCGCACAAGCGGUGGAUUAUGUGGAUUAAUUUGAUGCAACGCGAAAACUUUACCUGGCCUUGACAUGCCACUAACGAAGCAGAGAUGCAUUAGGUGCCCGUAAGGGAAAGUGGACACAGGUGCUGCAUGGCUGUCGUCAGCCCGUGUCGUGAGAUGUUGGGUUAAGUCCCGUCAACGAGCGCAACCCUUGCCAUUAAUUGCCAUCAUUUAGUUGGGCACUUUAAUGGGACUGCCGGUGACAAACCGGAGGAAGGUGGGGAUGACGUCAAGUCCUCAUGGCCCUUAUGGCCAGGGCUUCACACGUAAUACAAUGGUCGGUACAGAGAGUUGCCAACCCGCGAGGGGGUAGCUAAUCUCAGAAAGCCGGAUCGUAGUCC